Molecule: long non-coding RNA, 694 nt
Filed under: Lathyrus oleraceus (garden pea)
Lineage: Eukaryota; Viridiplantae; Streptophyta; Magnoliopsida; Fabales; Fabaceae
Description: Pisum sativum (pea) long non-coding RNA (PSAT_LNC042087)
Source: RNAcentral
UUUUUUUAUUUUUAUGUGCCCCAGUUGGCUGUUCUGCUGAUUCUCGAGAUGCAGCUGAGUGAUCUUCUUUUCUUGCUCAAGAAGCCGGGAAAUCUCAUCAGGAAUCCUUUCAACAUCAUCUUCUUCCGCUUCAAAUACAGGGAAUUCAAAAUUGGGAGAUAACGUCUGAUCAUUAGGUUCAAUGGGUUUAAGAAACAACCUGCAUAAUGAUUUAGAGAUGAAAAGCUUUUUGAAAAACAAACAAGACAAUCGUUAUGCAGAUGAAAAGAUUGCUUUUAUUCUUGUUUUUAAGGUUUUUUGUGAUCACCAAUUUCAUGCGAAAAGCGAAAAGGGAAAACAAAUGGAAAAACAAAUGUUUUAACAUGAAUUUAUUUGAAUGAAAAUAUCAUUGCACAAAAUGUUGCCAACAAUGUCAUCACUUCUCCUUUUGGCAUGGGAAAAGGGUUUUUUAAACAAAGUGAUUAUUACUCUGACUUGUGAACGACUGUAGGAACGCCCACAGUGACCCAAUUGCGAUAGAUCCUACCAGGGAUGACAAAUGUCAGAAUCCUUUGCAUCAGCAGCUUCUGCUUUUGAACAACCCUCUUUGUUGAAGAUCUUAGAAGAAAAGCCACCGCCGGCCCGGGGCUUGUUGUCUUCAAGCUUGAUUAACACUGGGACCUAAGUCCUCGAAGCUCAGAAUCCCUGAUCUGAC